ACAUAACUGAUGCCUCCGCGUAUCGACUUUGUGCGCAUUUUAGCUAUUAUGUGUUCUUUAAUUAAAAUGAUUCUUUUUAAGAUUCAUCUAUUAAAAAUUUGCCUCGGCAUAAUUUUUUUUGAUGAUCUUGUUACUUUGAGUAAAUUAGAGUGUUCAAAGCAAACAGAUAUAGCAUUUGUGCGUUUGAAUACUACAGCAUGGAAUAACAAAAUUGAACAAGUCAGAAUUUUUUUGUUCUUUUUUCUUAUUUUGGCUUAGUUACGAUUAAUAGGAGCAGCUUGGGGGCAUUUGUAUUCAGAUGUCAGAGGUGAAAUUCUUAGAUUUUCUGGAGACAAACAACUGCGAAAGCAUUUGCCUAAAAUACUUCCAUUAAUCAAGAACGAAAGUUAAGGGAGUGAAGACGAUCAGAUACCGUCGUAAUCUUAACCAUAAACUAUGCCGACUAGGCUUUGGAUGAAAGAUUUUAAAAUAAGAGUUUUUCUUUUCUCUCCGGAGAUUAGAACUCUUAGAUUGCUUCCUUCAGUGCCUUAUGAGAAAUCAAAGUCUUUGGGUUCUGGGGCGAGUAUUCGCGCAAGCGAGAAAGUUAAAAGAAUUGACGGAAGGGCACCACCAGGCGUGGAGCUUGCGGCUUAAUUUGACUCAACACGGGAAAACUCACUAGUUUAAGACAAGAGUAGGAUUGACAGAUUAAUAGCUCUUUCUUGAUUUCUUGGAUGGUGAUGCAUGGCCGUUUUUAGUUCGUGAAUAUGAUUUGUCUGGUUAAUUCCGAUAACGAACGAGAUCUUAACCUGCUAAUUAGCGGCAAAUACGAUAUAUUCUUAUGUAGAAUUGAAUAUAGUGGAUUUGUUAGAUUUUGAAGAAAAUAUUGGAAUUACGUCAAAUGUGAUUCCCUUCCCUUUUCUACUUAAUUUACAUUUCCAUCUAUUUCUUUUUUGCGUAUGAAUGUAUUUGCUUGAUUGUAAAGCUUCUUAGAGGAACGAUGUGUG
RNAcentral lists this ribosomal RNA (986 nucleotides) under Plasmodium knowlesi. RNAcentral describes it as "SSU rRNA". It matches the Rfam family "Eukaryotic small subunit ribosomal RNA", at positions 638 to 1428 of the family's 1831-position model. Lineage: Eukaryota; Apicomplexa; Aconoidasida; Haemosporida; Plasmodiidae. The record is from RNAcentral.